CGGCUCCUCCCCUUCCUGCUCAGGCCCUGCCCAGCUUCCACGUCAGCCCCUUCCCCUGACCUGGGCAAAGAACAAUAGGAACCUUUCAAGAGAAGCAGUAAGGACCAGAUGCAGUCAAGGGGCAGAGGGGCCAGGAGAUGCCAAGGUCAUGGCCCAGACUCCUGGAGCUGAUGUGCCUGCCAUCUGCUGCCUGCCUCCAGAGACCCAGGCUCUGGUCCUUCCUCGGCCUUCUCUAAGCCAGAUCCCAGGCGCCUGGCUAGCCCCAGCCUUACUGCUGAUCUCCACAACUCCCUGCCUUAACUUUGUACUUGUCCCGCCUCCCGCCCCCCCAGCACCUCCCCCACUCUGAGGUCUCUCUGACUCUGGUCAUGUGGGGCUCCCCUCGUUCCCAGCCAGGUGACCCUGUGGCCGUUGCACAGGGUCUGCAGACCCCUCACCUUGAGGGUGCCAGUUCCCAAACUCUAAAUCCCAGUCUCUCUCCACGUUGUGCUUUUACCAAUGACUAGUGGCUGGGUCCUGACCUGCCACUGAGUCUGUCUCCACUCUGGGAAUGGUCAGGUUCUGUACUCACUGUUCUUGGCAGACAAGGAUCUGGGCCCCUUUCUUUAGAGAGCUUCUAUGGCCAAGUAGGGUCAGACUGCUCCUCUGUGGACCACCCACUGAGUCCCCUCCUGAGCCUUCUGUCUCUCAACUCUGGGCCAACUUGUCCAGGCUUAUUUCCACCUCUCCCCCUAACCAGCUGUCACCAGCCACCCCAGGAGAAGGGCACUGCAGAGUUCAGGCCAUUCAUCUUUCAAUACCCAAGCCUCUUAGCAUAGGAGAAUGAUGACAGAAGCCCUCUGCCUACACCUUUUCCCAAGCAAGGCCAAGGGCAGGCAGAGUCAAGUAGGUAGCAAUCGAGAGCGAAGACAGAAGUCAGGUCCAGAAAUUCAGGUUCACUUUAGAACAGUUGACUG
Long non-coding RNA from Dama dama (fallow deer), 956 nucleotides. RefSeq lists it as uncharacterized. The transcript has 3 exons. The record is from RefSeq and is a predicted model, not a curated record. Lineage: Eukaryota; Metazoa; Chordata; Mammalia; Artiodactyla; Cervidae.